Brassica napus (rape) is the source of this 1487-nucleotide long non-coding RNA. RefSeq lists it as uncharacterized. NCBI's taxonomy places the organism in Eukaryota, Viridiplantae, Streptophyta, Magnoliopsida, Brassicales, Brassicaceae. The record is from RefSeq and is a predicted model, not a curated record. The transcript has 3 exons.
UUAGGAUUGGUAAAAACCCCAGACGUAGCAGGAGGGUAUUGGUUGGUUCAUUUUAGACGAAAGGGAAAAAGUGGCGUCUCUCUCUCUCUUUCGUUCUCCUCUUCGAUGUCAUCGACUCUUCGCGUUCGAUUCUGUCGAAAUCUCUAAAGCUUGAUGAUGUUUGAUCCGUUUGUUCGUCGUCGAUUCUGUCGAAAUCUCUCCUAAUCCUCCACCAAUGGUCUUCGUCUCUCCGUCGCUUAUCACAUUGUUCCUCAAUGUCUCUCCUUCACCAAUCUCUGUCUCUUGCAGCCUCUCUCUCGCCUCCCGACUCUCCUCCCGGAAACUCGAUCGUCGUUAUGAACAACUCUGUUUCCGGCUUUGCCGUCGACGGCAUUCUCGUCACCGAACCGGAUCUUUUCCCCUCUUCUCAAAUGUGCCUUUGACGAAAUUGUAGUGAGCUCCUCUUAUAGAAAGCGUGUUCUUCACUACUGCAGCUCUCACAAAUGGGUACGAAAGCAAGUUCCCAAGCGACACAUUCACAGCUUCCUGCAUCUUUUAGAAUCAUUCACUCUCUUUGCUUUAUUUGAGUUUUUCUGGAAGAUUUUGCUUUGUUACAAUGGGUUAUGCUCAGCUCGUUAUAGGGAGAACAAUGAAUGUUGUUAACUUGGAUCGUGCUGCUGAAAUCUUCAACUAUCCUGUGGCUAUGAAAUCUGACUGGGACAGCUCGAUACGCAAGUGUCAACACUCACCUUGGAGUUGGUAAGAGCUAUGUCCUGUUUUUCUGUUUUGUUUUUGCUAUCAGCUUACCAUGGCAGGGACUAAAAGCUGGGACAAAGAAGCAGAAAUAUGAUGUAGUAAGUGAGAAGAAAGUAUCAACUCCUAUAGAGGUGCUGUGUAAAAAUUGCCCGUCUGAAUUUGUUUCAUACUUCCACUACCGUCGAUCUUUGAUAUCAGAGAACUUUUUUUCUUUGGAAGAUGUAAUGGAGGAGGUCGGGCUUGGUCCUAAUGGUGCCCUCAUGUACUGCAUGGAGUAUCCUUUUUGUUGUUACAUAGACAUAAAAUGAGAAUUUAACUACCUCCAGUCUUAAUUAUGUUGCCUUUAUAUGUUGGAAAAUUGCAUGGAGAAUCCACAGAUACCUUGAUGAUAGCUUACAUGAUUGGGUGGAUGAAGAAUUGGAUAACUACCGAGAUGAUGAUUACCUUAUAUUCGAUUGUCCAGGUGCAUACAUGACCGUUACGUUUAUAUGUCUGAUCUUUUUAUACGAGUGGUUUCUGUCACCAGUUUGGUUCCCAAUUAUGUUUUUUUUUUAUCUCUAAAUUCAUGUAAUCAUCUUGCUUUUUUUUCUUUAUUUCAACGACACUUUCAACCAACACUUGUUGGGUCUUGUUGUUGUUUUGUUCUCUCUGUUUUUGUUUUCAUUGCUUCUCUUUUCUCUUCUCUCUAUGUAUGUUUUUUUUAAAAUUAUUCUACUUAAAAAAAAAAUUUAUUUAAGAACCCUUAUGAGGUU